CUGGGGAGCCAUGCUUCGUGUUCAGCGACAGGGAGGAGAGGGAUUCCCCUCGAUAACACUACCAUGAGUGACAAGACUUUUGGAUGUACUCUGUCACUCCUUAUGCAUACUCAGUACUAGGAGGCAUCUCCUCGCAGCUGCGUGUUCAGCUUUGACCACAGCCUGCGUGACUCCAACCUGGGACACUGGGAAGUUCUUCACUCUUGAGGCACUGCGGACAAAGGAAUGCUUCUGGUACCUGCUUCCUGGUCUGCUGUUCCUUUUACUGAAAUGUUUUUAA
This 280-nucleotide long non-coding RNA is filed under the name Numida meleagris (helmeted guineafowl). RNAcentral describes it as "lncRNA (ENSNMEG00000008586.1)". The record is from RNAcentral. Lineage: Eukaryota; Metazoa; Chordata; Aves; Galliformes; Numididae.